GGGAGUGACCGGCUUCGACAAGGAAAAUGUCGAUUGUGCGCGGCGUCGAGCGUGUUCGCGGACUCGUAAAAAACGUGAACGACUUGAAAGUGCCAAGAAUAAAAGCACCGGUGGAGUUGCAACGCCUUAUUUUAAGGCAGGUAACUUUGCUUUCGCUUACGCUUAAGUGAGCGACGCAUCCUCGGGAGUACUCCUGAUAGGCUCGAGUGAUGUGUCAUUCUUUCAGGAUAGGAGCGUACCGCCUGGAUACGCCACCGAAAAUUAACAGGCGUAGCGCGUGAGGAUUUCGUUUUUCUUUUACCCCACACGCGAAACAUCAAGACAAACUACGCGCCGUAGACCCACGACUCUUCAUCUCUUUGAACGGGGGUUCGAUUCCCCCCACUUCCACAA
RNAcentral lists this transfer-messenger RNA (393 nucleotides) under Candidatus Lloydbacteria bacterium RIFCSPHIGHO2_01_FULL_54_11. It matches the Rfam family "transfer-messenger RNA". Rfam says of the family: Bacterial tmRNA, also known as 10Sa RNA or SsrA, is named for its dual tRNA and mRNA-like properties. Its role is to liberate the mRNA from a stalled ribosome. Lineage: Bacteria; Candidatus Lloydiibacteriota. The record is from RNAcentral. RNAcentral also lists the same sequence under 4 other names.